AAGUCAUAACAAGGUUUCCGUAGGUGAACCUGCAGAAGGAUCAUUACCUAGAGUUGUAGGCUUUGCCUACUAUCUCUUACCCAUGUCUUUUAAGUACCUUCGUUUCCUCAGCAGGUUCGCCCGCCAAUUAGACAAUUUAAACCAUUUGCAGUUGCAAUCAGCGUCUAAAAAAACAUAAUAGUUACAA
RNAcentral lists this unclassified non-coding RNA (187 nucleotides) under plant metagenome. RNAcentral describes it as "partial contains small subunit ribosomal RNA and internal transcribed spacer 1". The stretch from base 1 to 46 matches the Rfam family "Eukaryotic small subunit ribosomal RNA", at positions 1786 to 1831 of the family's 1831-position model. The record is from RNAcentral.